UUACAAAUGCACUGAAAACAAAAAUUUGUCACGUUGACCAGAUUUGAAGUCAUUUUCUUCCGUUCAGUUAGUCAAUAUAUAAUUUGACUAUCUGUUUCCUCAACAUUACCAGUCUCUGGUCAACUUUGACUUGUGACUGGUCAUUUUGUUUAUAUUUAUUGGCGGGAAGAAACAAUAGCGUCGGUCGCCAUUUUUUCCCUGGAAAACUCGAAGUCAGGUGUGGCAUGGACUCUCAACUACCACUGAAUGGACAAACAAAUCAAAAUACAAUGCAUUGUUACGAAUAUAGACAAGAUGAAAACCACAUUAGGUACACGAAGAUGUUACCAUGAAUAGAAUAAAUAAGUUAAUCCAUUUCUGACGAAAACAGCCAAACAAGAAGAAAACAGAACUGAUGAUGAUUUCAUUCCCAUGUGCUAUAUUUGCUAAGGACCUGUGAAAAAGAAUUUGUAAUGAUCAAAGAAGAAAACAACCAGUAAAUAUAUUCCUCUGAGGUAGGAAAACAAAGCAACAACUGAAAAGGUGCAACGAGAGACUGUUACCUGAAGUUAUUUAUUUGAUUGAUUAGAAAUCAUUUACAAACAGUAAAACUAAUUUGCUUGAAAAUAUAUAAAUAUCUAUGUAUGCUAUGUAUGUAGGUGUAUAUGAUCUCUUUUAAAAUUUUACAAUGUUUAUAUGCAAAUCUGAUGUUUUUUAAAGAUGAUCAGUUUAUUAUUUGUGUAUAUUUGGUGCAUGAAAUAACCAUAUUUAUGAAAUUUUAUAAUAAAUAGUUCAAACAUUAGUUGUAUAAUUGUUAUAUUUUGUAUCUGAAGGGCAUUGAUGCGUGAUAAUUAAAAUGAUUUGACGCGCAUCGUCAAUAUGAUCUCCAAUAUCGUCAAAAUGCCUAGAAAUAAAACUAAUUGACAGUCAUUUUGAUAUGAAAUGAUAAUCAUUUUGAAUAUCGGAAUCUAUCAUUAUGACAAGAAUACAGUCAAAUAAAAUCGUUAAAGUGUACUCAUGGUGACUUUUAAUUAGUCAAGGUAGACUAUCGAUUUAGUCAGUAUGAAUUUUCUCGGGUCGUCAAAAUGAGCUCAACAUAUUGUCUAAUUGACUAACUGCACCCUCAUCUGGAGGACAAUCAAUCUGAUUAUUUUUUUAGGUCAUGGUGACUAACUUAAA
Molecule: long non-coding RNA, 1158 nt
Organism: Saccostrea cuccullata (small rock oyster)
Lineage: Eukaryota; Metazoa; Mollusca; Bivalvia; Ostreida; Ostreidae
Exons: 4
Source: RefSeq, a predicted model, not a curated record